CCAGCAGUCCAAAAAUAUUAGUCAAUGCUCGAAAGAGUGAACUAGCUAACUGAAAUCAAUUAAAAAAAUUGAUAACAUAAGGGAAAAUAAUGAUAUUACCUUAUUAUUAGUGUCGUCCAAAACUCGGUGCCAGAAGACUCGGUAAGGCCAGAGACACAAACGUUAAUCGUCUUAAUCAGGCGUAAAGGGUUUGUAGGCGGCUUUUAAUUUACUUAUAAAUCUUAUAAAAUAAGUUAAGAAUAAAAGCUAGAAUCAAAUAGAGGAUAUAUCAAAUAAUGCUUAGAGUAGGUCUGAUAUCCUUAGAUACUAAGUAGAAUAUUAAAGGCGAAAGCUUUUUUCCAUAAAUGAUUGACGCUCAGAAACGAAGGUGAGGAUAGGAAAUAGGAUUAGAUACCCAAAAUACCCCUCUCUGUCAACGAUGAAUGGUAGUUAUUAAUAAUAAAUUUAUUAUUAAUGGCAAUGUUAACACGAUAACCAUUCCGCCUUGUGAGUACAACUGCAAAGUUGAAAACAAAAAAAUUAGUCGGUUUCGGAGCAAACGAAGUGAAGCAUGUUAUUUAAU
Molecule: ribosomal RNA, 562 nt
Filed under: Russula sp.
Lineage: Eukaryota; Fungi; Basidiomycota; Agaricomycetes; Russulales; Russulaceae
Description: SSU rRNA
Rfam family: Bacterial small subunit ribosomal RNA
Source: RNAcentral